GAGCGCAGCGAACGAGUGAGAUAUCAUGUUCAACACGAGAAAUAAAUCUGGUAUUUCCAAGCACCCAUGUAUUUUUCUGUUUAUUAUAUAAACAAAAUUCAGUGAAAAACAAUAAAACGUCCGUGGCAAUGCGUUUUACAACAAAUGAUAUUUUCACGCGUAAAAAUAUCGUAUUUUUUACGUGUGUUUAAAUACGAUUUUUCUCAGUGGCCAAAAACUCUAUAUAACACUCAUGUUUAUAUAAUAAAUAGAUUUCACUGGUAUAGAUGUAGUUUAGUUGGUUAGAGCGCUGCAUCGCAAUCGCGUGUUCGAUUCCUGCCAGAGAGGUGAAUGGACGAAGGGACGAUGACUGUGUUAUUAUUCAUAAAUUGACUGUUAUUAUUCAUUUUUGCCAAACAACCAAUAGCAAUUUCCAAUUUACCCUAUUGUUCGAGUCACGGAUAGAUAACUUUCCUAAAACUUUGCUAUUGCCUGUAUUGGUUAGUUGGGCAAAAAUAUACAAUACGCACGAAGGACCAGAUUUAUGAAUAAGCGUUAACUAACAUAGAUAACGAGUUAUAUUGUUAUUCUAAUGAGUUUCACAGCCAUCUUUCCUUCGAUAGGCUAUGAUUAGAGCGAUCUCAAACCGAUCGGUGACUGGGUCCUUGGACUUCUUGUGGAAUGUCAAAAAAAUGGGAAAUUUUGUAUUCAAGUACAACAAAAAUGACUUGCAUCUUUGGAAAACGUACAAAAAUCGCAUAUAAGACUUUUAAACAGUUUUUUGAUUCUUCAAAUAGUCUUCGAGUUAUUGCUGUUUUAAAAUGUGAAAAUUGGACCAAAAUGUCGCAAUAAGGACUGGGUACUAGGUCAAAAUCGCGUUUUUGACAGCGUAUAACUCGAAAGCAAUUUGAGAAGAAAAAAAACUGUUUAAAUGUCUUAUAUGUAGGUUUUUGUAUAAGCUCAUUUUUGUUGUAAUUGAAUACAAAAUUUCACAUUAUGUAUAGGUCUUCACUCUUCAAAUAGUAUGUAAUAUUAAGUUAUUAACCCCUUCAAAUAGUAUGUUUGGUAUUAUUUAUUUCAAUCUAGUUG
Molecule: non-coding RNA, 1068 nt
Organism: Paramuricea clavata
Lineage: Eukaryota; Metazoa; Cnidaria; Anthozoa; Malacalcyonacea; Plexauridae
Source: the annotation of a GenBank genome assembly